This 105-nucleotide non-coding RNA is filed under the name Yersinia aleksiciae. RNAcentral describes it as "Yersinia sRNA 224". It matches the Rfam family "Yersinia sRNA 224". Lineage: Bacteria; Pseudomonadati; Pseudomonadota; Gammaproteobacteria; Enterobacterales; Yersiniaceae. The record is from RNAcentral.
GGUUAUUGAUCCAGUGCCAGUAGUGGAGAGAACAGGCGGACCGUAAAGACGCCGUAAAUCCUUCCCUGGAGGCUCGAACCGCACCUUCCCUGGCGUGGACGCUUU